AACGAACGCUGGCGGCAUGCCUAACACAUGCAAGUCGAACGAGACCUUCGGGUCUAGUGGCGCACGGGUGCGUAACGCGUGGGAAUCUGCCCUUCGGUUCGGAACAACAGUUAGAAAUGACUGCUAAUACCGGAUAAUGACGUAAGUCCAAAGAUUUAUCGCCGAAGGAUGAGCCCGCGUAAGAUUAGGUAGUUGGUGGGGUAAUGGCCUACCAAGCCGACGAUCUUUAGCUGGUCUGAGAGGAUGAUCAGCCACACUGGGACUGAGACACGGCCCAGACUCCUACGGGAGGCAGCAGUGGGGAAUAUUGGACAAUGGGCGAAAGCCUGAUCCAGCAAUGCCGCGUGAGUGAAGACGGCCUGCGGGUUGUAAAGCCCUUUAAGCGGGGAGGAACGCCGGAACGCGAAUACCGUUUCGGACUGACGUUACCCGCAGAAUAAGCACCGGCUAACUCCGUG
RNAcentral lists this ribosomal RNA (458 nucleotides) under uncultured bacterium. RNAcentral's name for it is "bacterial SSU rRNA". It matches the Rfam family "Bacterial small subunit ribosomal RNA", at positions 29 to 507 of the family's 1533-position model. The record is from RNAcentral.